RNAcentral lists this ribosomal RNA (381 nucleotides) under Triticum aestivum (bread wheat). RNAcentral's name for it is "partial small subunit ribosomal RNA". Lineage: Eukaryota; Viridiplantae; Streptophyta; Magnoliopsida; Poales; Poaceae. The record is from RNAcentral.
AUGAAUGUUGCGCUCAUGCUGAGGUGGGUUUGGAGGAUCAUGCGAGGCGAUGGGGGCUUGUGGCUUCAGAUCAUCCAAGAAAAAUACCUAAGGGGUGAACACCUAUUGGCAUGCUCCCGCUCAGGAGGACCCCAGUUUUGGCAAUCCAUCCAAAGGAUCAAGGAGGACAUUCGUUUAUGAAUUUCCUUCUCUAUAGGUAAUGGGGAGGGGACCCAAUUUUGGUUGGACCCAUGGAUGGGUACCGAGCACCUCAGGGUAGGUUCUCUGUCCUAUUUUCUAUCUACACGGAUCUGUUGCUCCUUGUCUCCGUGGCUGCACGCUCUGGGCACUGGGGUGGUUCCGCCGGACGUUUGGGCAGGUGGAGAAUAUCGAGUGGUCUAG